RNAcentral lists this ribosomal RNA (396 nucleotides) under Axinoscymnus nigripennis. RNAcentral's name for it is "partial 16S ribosomal RNA". The record is from RNAcentral. Lineage: Eukaryota; Metazoa; Arthropoda; Insecta; Coleoptera; Coccinellidae.
UCAUUAGUUUUUUAAUUGAAAGCUUGUAUGAAUGGUUUGAUGAGGAAUUAACUUUCUCCAUUUAAAUUAAAGAAAUUUAUUUUUAAGUUAAAAAGCUUAAAUAUGAUUAAUAGACGAGAAGACCCUAUAAAAUUUAAUUAAUUAAUUAUUAUAGUUUUUUAUUAUUUAAUUCAAUUAAUUUUAUUAUUUAAUUUAAUUGGGGUGAUUAUAAAAUUUAUUAAACUUUUAUUUAAUAACAACAUAAAUUUAUGAUUCAAUGAUCCAAUAUAAAUUAUUGAUUAUAAGAUUAAAUUACUUUAGGGAUAACAGCGUAAUUUUAUUUUAGAGUUCUUAUUAAAAAUAAAGAUUGCGACCUCGAUGUUGGAUUAAAAUUAAUUUUUGGUGUAGAAGCUAAGC